Molecule: ribosomal RNA, 253 nt
Filed under: uncultured bacterium
Lineage: Bacteria
Description: partial 16S ribosomal RNA
Rfam family: Bacterial small subunit ribosomal RNA
Source: RNAcentral
UACGAAGGGGGCUAGCGUUGUUCGGAAUACUGGGCGUAAGGCGCGCGCAGGCGGUUCUCCAAGUCAGUGGUGAAAGCCCGGAGCUCAACUCCGGAACUGCCAUUGAAACUGUUGAACUUGAGGACGAGAGAGGUGAGUGGAAUUCCCAGUGUAGAGGUGAAAUUCGUAGAUAUUGGGAAGAACACCGGUGGCGAAGGCGGCUCACUGGCUCGUAUCUGACGCUCAGGCGCGAUAGCGUGGGGGAUCAAACAGG